Molecule: long non-coding RNA, 1079 nt
Organism: Pyrus x bretschneideri (Chinese white pear)
Lineage: Eukaryota; Viridiplantae; Streptophyta; Magnoliopsida; Rosales; Rosaceae
Exons: 6
Source: RefSeq, a predicted model, not a curated record
UUUCCUUUUUCUACAACAUAAUUUGAGGGAUGCAAUCCCGUAUCAAGUUUCUUAGCCCUAUAAUCUUAUUUGUUUUGCAGUCAAGUUGACAACAACAACUUUGGUGGGACUACAAUUCCAGAUUUGUAUAGCAACAUGUCUAAACCGUUCAAGUUGAGUUUGACGAACUUACAAUGGCCUAUUCCUGAUUUCAGUAGGAUUCCAAACCUCGGUUAUCCACAGGUUCGAGUUUAAUUGUGUAAAAAAUGGAGAGAUUGAUCACCGUCACUCAUAGCUGCGUUUCAGGAAACAAGCUUAUCUCUUCCCAAUUUUGUGUACCCACUUUUUAUUCAUGAUGGUCAAGGUGGGACACCUAUCUGGGCAAUGUUGGGAUGUCUAGGCUUGGGUGGAGACGUGGACUUAUGGAAGUGUUGAAGUAGCUUAGCUCUAUCUCAAUAGCUCUCAUCUGUUCUGUUUAAGCUCAUUGGUGCUGACUCUGAGGUCAAUCAAGCACAUAAGAUUCAGAAAGAAAACUCCACAUCUGUUGCCAGCAAUGCUCAUGGGGAACCAAAGCCUAAAAAUCUAAAGCCUUUUAGGUUUAGAACUGAUGAAAGAGGGAUGUUUAAGGAAGCAACUUUGGAGAAAAAAGUGCAUGCACCACUGAAGGAGAUCACAUUAGUCAGGACUCCAGGGGUAAAGUCAACAAGCAAACAUUAGAAUGUGAUACACGUAUACUUGGGAGCUGCAAGUGCUUUGUGUGUGGUUUGAAUCUGAACAAUUACAUUGUAAAACAUUGGACCAGUUGGUCAUAUUUAGAAGAGCAAACGGGGAUGGAGUUCUUGGUGUUGCAUGAAGUUGAUGUGCAUGAGAUGGACAUCCAUCCUGUCUCCAAUGGAAGAAAUUCGAUGUCACCAUCUUCAGCUUUCCUCAUGCAGGCCAUUACUCUAGGCUAAGUGAAAAGUACUCGGUCCUUACGGAGUAAGUCACUAAUUAUUCAUUUCAAUUAAAUGCUGAUUAGGAUAUUAUGUGUAAAUAGGAUUGUAAAUAUGUUGUACAUAUAAUUUUCAAUCCCGCAACAACGCGCGGGCACCAUUGCUAGU